AUCCAGACUCCUACGGGAGGCAGCAGUGGGGAAUAUUGCACAAUGGGGGGAACCCUGAUGCAGCGACGCCGCGUGGGCGAGGAAGUAUUUCGGUAUGUAAAGCUCUAUCAGCAGGGAAGAAAAUGACGGUACCUGACUAAGAAGCCCCGGCUAACUACGUGCCAGCAGCCGCGGUAAUACGUAGGGGGCAAGCGUUAUCCGGAUUUACUGGGUGUAAAGGGGGCGCAGACGGCAGCGCAAGCCAGGAGUGAAAGCCCGGGGCCCAACCCCGGGACUGCUCUUGGAACUGCGCGGCUGGAGUGCAGGAGGGGCAGGCGGAAUUCCUGGUGUAGCGGUGAAAUGCGUAGAUAUCAGGAGGAACACCGGUGGCGAAGGCGGCCUGCUGGACUGCGACUGACGUUGAGGCCCGAAAGCGUGGGGAGCAAACAGGAUUAGAUACCCUAGUACAU
RNAcentral lists this ribosomal RNA (449 nucleotides) under uncultured bacterium. RNAcentral describes it as "partial 16S ribosomal RNA". It matches the Rfam family "Bacterial small subunit ribosomal RNA", at positions 329 to 794 of the family's 1533-position model. The record is from RNAcentral.